This 501-nucleotide ribosomal RNA is filed under the name Vibrio sp. RNAcentral describes it as "bacterial SSU rRNA". It matches the Rfam family "Bacterial small subunit ribosomal RNA", at positions 30 to 508 of the family's 1533-position model. Lineage: Bacteria; Pseudomonadati; Pseudomonadota; Gammaproteobacteria; Vibrionales; Vibrionaceae. The record is from RNAcentral.
AUUGAACGCUGGCGGCAGGCCUAACACAUGCAAGUCGAGCGGAAACGAGUUAUCUGAACCUUCGGGGAACGAUAACGGCGUCGAGCGGCGGACGGGUGAGUAAUGCCUGGGAAAUUGCCCUGAUGUGGGGGAUAACCAUUGGAAACGAUGGCUAAUACCGCAUAAUAGCUUCGGCUCAAAGAGGGGGACCUUCGGGCCUCUCGCGUCAGGAUAUGCCCAGGUGGGAUUAGCUAGUUGGUGAGGUAAGGGCUCACCAAGGCGACGAUCCCUAGCUGGUCUGAGAGGAUGAUCAGCCACACUGGAACUGAGACACGGUCCAGACUCCUACGGGAGGCAGCAGUGGGGAAUAUUGCACAAUGGGCGCAAGCCUGAUGCAGCCAUGCCGCGUGUAUGAAGAAGGCCUUCGGGUUGUAAAGUACUUUCAGCAGUGAGGAAGGUGGUGCACUUAAUACGUGCAUCAUUUGACGUUAGCUGCAGAAGAAGCACCGGCUAACUCCGUGC